GACGAACGCUGGCGGCGUGCUUAACACAUGCAAGUCGAACGGAAAGGCCCUGCUUUUGUGGGGUGCUCGAGUGGCGAACGGGUGAUUAACCCGUGAGUAACCUGCCCUUGACUUUGGGAUAACUUCAGGAAACUGGGGCUAAUACCGGAUAGGAGCUCCUGCUGCAUGGUGGGGUUUGGAAAGUUUCGGCGGUUGGGGAUGGACUCGCGGCUUAUCAGCUUGUUGGUGGGGUAGUGGCUUACCAAGGCUUUGACGGGUAGCCGGCCUGAGAGGGUGACCGGCCACAUUGGGACUGAGAUACGGCCCAGACUCCUACGGGAGGCAGCAGUGGGGAAUAUUGCACAAUGGGCGGAAGCCUGAUGCAGCAACGCCGCGUGCGGGAUGACGGCCUUCGGGUUGUAAACCGCUUUCGCCUGUGACGAAGCGUGAGUGACGGUAAUGGGUAAAGAAGCACCGGCUAACUACGUG
Molecule: ribosomal RNA, 468 nt
Filed under: uncultured bacterium
Lineage: Bacteria
Description: partial 16S ribosomal RNA
Rfam family: Bacterial small subunit ribosomal RNA
Source: RNAcentral